CUUCGUGUAUCAGUCAAAGUGCAGUGUUAGUGACAUAGUCUCAACAGAGUAGAAAUAAGUAAGUAAAUUUAAUAAAAUAAUAUUGGUUUAAGAUGUAGGAUACACAUUUGACAUGUUAGUGUGUGGUUGAAGGUCUCCAUGCUGUGGUUUUGUUAGAAGAAUACCAUCCUACACCAAAUCCCUUUGAAAUUUUAUUGUGGAAAAUUAAAUGUCUUGGUUAUAAUAAAAUUUUGUUUCUUCUCUUUCAAAUAAAAACCACAAAAUGGAAAAAGCAUACACCUUUUGGAUGAAUUUAUCAUGUCUUGAAAUACAAUUCAUAAAAUAAGUAAAAU
This 332-nucleotide long non-coding RNA is filed under the name Mytilus galloprovincialis (Mediterranean mussel). The record is from RNAcentral. Lineage: Eukaryota; Metazoa; Mollusca; Bivalvia; Mytilida; Mytilidae.